Molecule: long non-coding RNA, 326 nt
Filed under: Selaginella moellendorffii
Lineage: Eukaryota; Viridiplantae; Streptophyta; Lycopodiopsida; Selaginellales; Selaginellaceae
Description: long non-coding RNA (SMOE_LNC001906)
Source: RNAcentral
GCUGGUCUAGUUUGCUCCCACUGGGCUCGACCCGAGGGGUAGGGUGUCAAGAGAGCAGGGCUCUCCCGUUGCUCCCAGGUCCGACUCUAUUAGUUGGCUAGGGGAAUCAAACCACAUAUUGAUUGACAUCUGGCUGGUCCAGUUUGCUCCCACUGGGCUCGACCCGAGGGGUAGGGUGUCAAGAGAGCAGGGCUCUCGGGAGAGCUGCAGCUCUCAGCUUCCGUUCACGAGGGCGUGAACUUGCAGGGAAGCGUGGUGGAUUGUAAGCAACCAAAAAGAACGACUUGAGAGAUGGUCCAUGGGGUUCAAAUAUAGAGGGAAAGGGC